Molecule: ribosomal RNA, 492 nt
Filed under: uncultured bacterium
Lineage: Bacteria
Description: partial 16S ribosomal RNA
Rfam family: Bacterial small subunit ribosomal RNA
Source: RNAcentral
AGUGAACGCUGGCGGUAGGCCUAACACAUGCAAGUCGAACGGCAGCACAGUAAGAGCUUGCUCUUACGGGUGGCGAGUGGCGGACGGGUGAGGAAUACAUCGGAAUCUACUUUUUCGUGGGGGAUAACGUAGGGAAACUUACGCUAAUACCGCAUACGACCUACGGGUGAAAGCAGGGGAUCUUCGGACCUUGCGCGAUUGAAUGAGCCGAUGUCGGAUUAGCUAGUUGGCGGGGUAAAGGCCCACCAAGGCGACGAUCCGUAGCUGGUCUGAGAGGAUGAUCAGCCACCCUGGAUCUGAGACACGGUCCCGACUCCUACGGGAGGCAGCAGUGGGGAAUAUUGGACAAUGGGCGCAAGCCUGAUCCAGCCAUACCGCGUGGGUGAAGAAGGCCUUCGGGUUGUAAAGCCCUUUUGUUGGGAAAGAAAAGCAGCAGGUUAAUCCCCCGCUGUUCUGACGGUACCCAAAGAAUAAGCACCGGCUAACUUCGUG